GACCCGUUAGCUCAGCAGGCAGAGCACCUGCCUUUUAAGCAGGGUGUCCGGAGUUCGAAUCUCCGACGGGUCA
RNAcentral lists this transfer RNA (73 nucleotides) under Clostridiales bacterium. RNAcentral's name for it is "tRNA-Lys". It matches the Rfam family "tRNA". From Rfam's summary of the family: Transfer RNA (tRNA) molecules are approximately 80 nucleotides in length. Their secondary structure includes four short double-helical elements and three loops (D, anti-codon, and T loops). Lineage: Bacteria; Bacillati; Bacillota; Clostridia; Eubacteriales. The record is from RNAcentral.